GAAUGCGGAGCGCAUUCGUUUAGGCAAAGUUGUUGAAAGCCUGCAGGCAGAGGUUCAGGCCCGGGAGGUCGCGGUUACGGACCUUACUGCCCGCGUGUCUGCUGCGGAGAAGCGGGCUGACGCUGCUGCUGAGGCCAAGGAUGCCUUGGUGUCCUCUUUUAACCAGCUGGAAGCUGACCGUGAGUGGUUGCGGACUCACGGCAUCGCGCGUAUUGUCGAGGCUAUCAUGA
Molecule: long non-coding RNA, 230 nt
Filed under: Helianthus annuus (common sunflower)
Lineage: Eukaryota; Viridiplantae; Streptophyta; Magnoliopsida; Asterales; Asteraceae
Description: hypothetical non coding rna
Source: RNAcentral